AGAGUUUGAUCCUGGCUCAGGACGAAUGCUGGCGGCGUGCCUAACACAUGCAAGUCGAACGGAGAAUUUUAUUUCGGUAGAAUUCUUAGUGGCGAACGGGUGAGUAACGCGUAGGCAACCUACCCUUUAGACGGGGACAACAUUCCGAAAGGAGUGCUAAUACCGGAUGUGAUCAUCGUGCCGCAUGGCAGGAUGAAGAAAGAUGGCCUCUACAAGUAAGCUAUCGCUAAAGGAUGGGCCUGCGUCUGAUUAGCUAGUUGGUAGUGUAACGGACUACCAAGGCGAUGAUCAGUAGCCGGUCUGAGAGGAUGAACGGCCACAUUGGGACUGAGACACGGCCCAAACUCCUACGGGAGGCAGCAGUGGGGAAUCUUCCGCAAUGGACGAAAGUCUGACAGAGCAACGCCGCGUGAGUGAUGAAGGAUUUCGGUCUGUAAAGCUCUGUUGUUUAUGACGAACGUGCAGUGUGUGAACAAUGCAUUGCAAUGACGGUAGUAAACGAGGAAGCCACGGCUAACUACGUGCCAGCAGCCGCGGUAAUACGUAGGUGGCGAGCGUUGUCCGGAAUUAUUGGGCGUAAAGAGCAUGUAGGCGGCUUAAUAAGUCGAGCGUGAAAAUGCAGGGCUCAACCCCGUAUGGCGCUGGAAACUGUUAGGCUUGAGUGCAGGAGAGGAAAGGGGAAUUCCCAGUGUAGCGGUGAAAUGCGUAGAUAUUGGGAGGAACACCAGUGGCGAAGGCGCCUUUCUGGACUGUGUCUGACGCUGAGAUGCGAAAGCCAGGGUAGCGAACGGGAUUAGAUACCCCGGUAGUCCUGGCCGUAAACGA
RNAcentral lists this ribosomal RNA (825 nucleotides) under uncultured bacterium. Its description in RNAcentral is "bacterial SSU rRNA". It matches the Rfam family "Bacterial small subunit ribosomal RNA", at positions 8 to 809 of the family's 1533-position model. The record is from RNAcentral.